Molecule: ribosomal RNA, 1158 nt
Filed under: uncultured Enterobacter sp.
Lineage: Bacteria; Pseudomonadati; Pseudomonadota; Gammaproteobacteria; Enterobacterales; Enterobacteriaceae
Description: bacterial SSU rRNA
Rfam family: Bacterial small subunit ribosomal RNA
Source: RNAcentral
GUAACGGCUCACCUAGGCGACGAUCCCUAGCUGGUCUGAGAGGAUGACCAGCCACACUGGAACUGAGACACGGUCCAGACUCCUACGGGAGGCAGCAGUGGGGAAUAUUGCACAAUGGGCGCAAGCCUGAUGCAGCCAUGCCGCGUGUAUGAAGAAGGCCUUCGGGUUGUAAAGUACUUUCAGCGGGGAGGAAGGCGUUGAGGUUAAUAACCUCAGCGAUUGACGUUACCCGCAGAAGAAGCACCGGCUAACUCCGUGCCAGCAGCCGCGGUAAUACGGAGGGUGCAAGCGUUAAUCGGAAUUACUGGGCGUAAAGCGCACGCAGGCGGUCUGUCAAGUCGGAUGUGAAAUCCCCGGGCUCAACCUGGGAACUGCAUUCGAAACUGGCAGGCUAGAGUCUUGUAGAGGGGGGUAGAAUUCCAGGUGUAGCGGUGAAAUGCGUAGAGAUCUGGAGGAAUACCGGUGGCGAAGGCGGCCCCCUGGACAAAGACUGACGCUCAGGUGCGAAAGCGUGGGGAGCAAACAGGAUUAGAUACCCUGGUAGCCCACGCCGUAAACGAUGUCGACCUGGAGGUUGUGCCCUUGAGGCGUGGCUUCCGGAGCUAACGCGUUAAGUCGACCGCCUGGGGANGNUANCNGGCCGCAAGGUUAAAACUCAAAUGAAUUGACGGGGGCCCGCACAAGCGGUGGAGCAUGUGGUUUAAUUCGAUGCAACGCGAAGAACCUUACCUACUCUUGACAUCCAGAGAACUUUCCAGAGAUGGAUUGGUGCCUUCGGGAACUCUGAGACAGGUGCUGCAUGGCUGUCGUCAGCUCGUGUUGUGAAAUGUUGGGUUAAGUCCCGCAACGAGCGCAACCCUUAUCCUUUGUUGCCAGCGGUUAGGCCGGGAACUCAAAGGAGACUGCCAGUGAUAAACUGGAGGAAGGUGGGGAUGACGUCAAAUCAUCAUGGCCCUUACGAGUAGGGCUACACACGUGCUACAAUGGCGCAUACAAAGAGAAGCGACCUCGCGAGAGCAAGCGGACCUCAUAAAGUGCGUCGUAGUCCGGAUUGGAGUCUGCAACUCGACUCCAUGAAGUCGGAAUCGCUAGUAAUCGUAGAUCAGAAUGCUACGGUGAAUACGUUCCCGGGCCUUGUACACACCGCCCGUCACACCA